UCAGACUGUGACUUCUGCUUCACCCCGAAUCAAUAUCAUCAUCAUUCAUCUCUCUUCUUUUCUCUUUCAAUUCAUUGCCAAAGGAUCAAAUUAAACUCUUUCAGAUACUUUCUCCAAUUCCACACGCCAUUAACCAAAUUAAAACCUCAAUCAUUCAAUACAGAUGCUGUAAACAAACUAUUAAGCCUUUACUUUAUGCAAAACAUUACUCUUCUUGUGUGAGUAGCGAGAUCACCGACUCAAUCUUUUCCUUCAUUCGGUCGUUUUCGUCUUACAUUCUUCAAUCCUUCG
This 291-nucleotide long non-coding RNA is filed under the name Phaseolus vulgaris (common bean). RNAcentral's name for it is "long non-coding RNA (PVUL_LNC003211)". The record is from RNAcentral. Lineage: Eukaryota; Viridiplantae; Streptophyta; Magnoliopsida; Fabales; Fabaceae.